This 253-nucleotide ribosomal RNA is filed under the name uncultured bacterium. RNAcentral's name for it is "partial 16S ribosomal RNA". It matches the Rfam family "Bacterial small subunit ribosomal RNA", at positions 524 to 776 of the family's 1533-position model. The record is from RNAcentral.
UACGGAGGGUGCGAGCGUUGUCCGGAAUCACUGGGCGUAAAGGGCGCGUAGGCGGCCUGAUAAGUAGGGGGUGAAAUCCUGCGGCUUAACCGCAGGGCUGCCUUCUAAACUGUCAGGCUUGAGCACAGUAGAGGCAGGUGGAAUUCCCGGUGUAGCGGUGGAAUGCGUAGAUAUCGGGGGGAAUACCAGUGGCGAAAGCGGCACCCUAGCAUUUUUCUGACGCUCAUGUGCGAAAGCGUGGGGAGCGAACGGG